This 568-nucleotide long non-coding RNA is filed under the name Spirodela polyrhiza (greater duckweed). Its description in RNAcentral is "long non-coding RNA (SPOL_LNC001249)". Lineage: Eukaryota; Viridiplantae; Streptophyta; Magnoliopsida; Alismatales; Araceae. The record is from RNAcentral.
GGAGAUGGCAGCCGGCGGCGGAGUUUCCUACUACAUCCCGGUGCUGUGCUUUGUCUCCGCCGCGGUGCUCCUGCAGCUGGGGUCGCCGGCGGCGGCCGCCAGCAGGUCGAACCUCGAGAUCGGCAUCGGCGGCAGCCCGCCCUACAACGAGCCCUCUCCCACGCCGCAGUACGAGCCCCCUUCUCCACCAUCCUACGAGCCCUGUCCCCCGCCGGAACACCCGCCACCGCCCCCUCCACCUCCCCCGCCUCCGCCUCCGCCGCCACCGCCACCACCGCCUCCUCCCCCGCCGCCUCCGCCGCCGCCGCCGCGGGAGCUGCAGCCAUCGGACUUCGAAAACACGAAGCAGUACAAGGCCUACAAGGUGAUCCAGCGAUUCAAGAAGACGAUCACCUGCGACCCGCUAGGAGUGACCAAGACAUGGAAGGGAACAAAGAUCUGCAAGUACAGGGGAUUCACCUGCGAUACGCCGCCCAAGACCGGUGACCGGACGAUCGCCGGCGUGGACUUCAACGGGUUCACCCUGGCGGCGCCGACCAUCGGUGGCUUCGCCGACGGGCUCCCCGAC